AUCUGGCAUUUGAUGAAUCUGAUCUAACAAAUGGGUAAUUUGCAUCUGAAUUUCAUUGAUGCUAUAUCACCUUGGAGAACUGAUGCCUCAU
Small nucleolar RNA from Cynara cardunculus var. scolymus (artichoke), 91 nucleotides. The record is from RefSeq and is a predicted model, not a curated record. NCBI's taxonomy places the organism in Eukaryota, Viridiplantae, Streptophyta, Magnoliopsida, Asterales, Asteraceae.